GAAACAGGAUAUAUUUUUUACCUAACAGUUUCUUACUCUUCUUUUUCAGGAGGGGGUGUGUGUUGCUAUUGUUUUCUGAAAGGGACAGGUGACAGUCAGCACGACUCUGUGGACCUGACCUGAAACUUCCUGAUUUAUAUGUGUAUUGAUAACUGUCACUAACAAAGUUAGUGGCUGCCGUGAUUCAUAGUCCAGCAAAAGUUCCCACAGUGGCCCCACUUCAUGCUGCAAUGCAGUGAGGGCCCUCCCUGGAGGAUGCAGGCUUCAGAAACCAGGCUCUGUUGUCAGCCGAGCUUGAUGCUCUGCUCGAUGCUGAUGGAAGAGGAUGUUAUAUGGGUUCCUCCCACCUUACCCCUGAGAGACU
Molecule: long non-coding RNA, 364 nt
Filed under: Corvus moneduloides (New Caledonian crow)
Lineage: Eukaryota; Metazoa; Chordata; Aves; Passeriformes; Corvidae
Description: lncRNA (ENSCMUG00000000615.2)
Source: RNAcentral